CAAUAGCGUAUAUUAAAGUUGUUGCAGUUAAAAAGCUCGUAGUUGGACUUGUGGCGUACGGUGUGUUCCGGGCACUUGUUGUCUGAGUAACCUGCUGUUGCCAUCCUUGGGUGGAACCUGUGUGGCAUUAGGUUGUCGUGCAGGGGAUGCCCAUCAUUUACUGUGAAAAAAUUAGAGUGUUCAAAGCAGGCUUAUGCCGUUGAAUAUAUUAGCAUGGAAUAAUGAGAUAGGACUUUUUUGCUAUUUUGUUGGUUUGCGCAAAGAGGUAAUGAUUAAUAGGGACAGUUGGGGGUAUUCGUAUCCCAUUGUCAGAGGUGAAAUUCUUGGAUUUUUGGAAGACGAACUACUGCGAAAGCAUUUACCAAGGAUGUUUUCAUUAA
This 380-nucleotide ribosomal RNA is filed under the name uncultured eukaryote. Its description in RNAcentral is "partial 18S ribosomal RNA". It matches the Rfam family "Eukaryotic small subunit ribosomal RNA", at positions 592 to 976 of the family's 1831-position model. The record is from RNAcentral.